UACGUAGGUGGCAAGCGUUGUCCGGAUUUAUUGGGUUUAAAGGGUGCGUAGGCGGUCCUAUAAGUCAGUGGUGAAAUAUCCCGGCUUAACCGGGAGGGUGGCAUUGAUACUGUUGGACUUGAGUAAAGUUGAGGUUGGCGGAAUUGACGGUGUAGCGGUGAAAUGCUUAGAUAUCGUCAAGAACACCGAUUGCGAAGGCAGCUAACUAAGCUUUAACUGACGCUGAGGCACGAAAGUGUGGGGAGCAAACAGG
RNAcentral lists this ribosomal RNA (253 nucleotides) under uncultured bacterium. Its description in RNAcentral is "partial 16S ribosomal RNA". It matches the Rfam family "Bacterial small subunit ribosomal RNA", at positions 524 to 776 of the family's 1533-position model. The record is from RNAcentral.